Molecule: transfer RNA, 73 nt
Filed under: Stegodyphus mimosarum
Lineage: Eukaryota; Metazoa; Arthropoda; Arachnida; Araneae; Eresidae
Rfam family: tRNA
About the family: Transfer RNA (tRNA) molecules are approximately 80 nucleotides in length.
Source: Rfam by way of RNAcentral
GCCUUCGUAGUGUAAAGGCCAGCACACUCGACGCGUAUUCGGAAGAUCCGAGGUUCAAAUCCCGGCGAGAGCA